Molecule: ribosomal RNA, 253 nt
Filed under: uncultured bacterium
Lineage: Bacteria
Description: partial 16S ribosomal RNA
Rfam family: Bacterial small subunit ribosomal RNA
Source: RNAcentral
UACGAAGGGGGCUAGCGUUGCUCGGAAUUACUGGGCGUAAAGGGAGCGUAGGUGGACAGUUUAGUCAGAGGUGAAAGCCCAGGGCUCAACCUUGGAAUUGCCUUUGAUACUGGCUGUCUUGAGUACGGAAGAGGUAUGUGGAACUCCGAGUGUAGAGGUGAAAUUCGUAGAUAUUCGGAAGAACACCAGUGGCGAAGGCGACAUACUGGUCCGUUACUGACACUGAGGCGCGAAAGCGUGGGGAGCGAACAGG